GAUGAACGCUGGCGGCGUGCCUAAUACAUGCAAGUCGAGCGAACAGACGAGGAGCUUGCUCCUCUGACGUUAGCGGCGGACGGGUGAGUAACACGUGGAUAACCUACCUAUAAGACUGGGAUAACUUCGGGAAACCGGAGCUAAUACCGGAUAAUAUAUUGAACCGCAUGGUUCAAUAGUGAAAGACGGUUUUGCUGUCUCUUAUAGAUGGAUCCGCGCCGCAUUAGCUAGUUGGUAAGGUAACGGCUUACCAAGGCAACGAUGCGUAGCCGACCUGAGAGGGUGAUCGGCCACACUGGAACUGAGACACGGUCCAGACUCCUACGGGAGGCAGCAGUAGGGAAUCUUCCGCAAUGGGCGAAAGCCUGAUGGAGCAACGCCGCGUGAGUGAUGAAGGUCUUCGGAUCGUAAAACUCUGUUAUUAGGGAAGAACAAAUGUGUAAGUAACUAUGCACGUCUUGACGGUACCUAAUCAGAAAGCCACGGCUAACUACGUG
This 497-nucleotide ribosomal RNA is filed under the name uncultured bacterium. Its description in RNAcentral is "partial 16S ribosomal RNA". It matches the Rfam family "Bacterial small subunit ribosomal RNA", at positions 28 to 507 of the family's 1533-position model. The record is from RNAcentral.